This 528-nucleotide ribosomal RNA is filed under the name Marinobacter sp. YKS2. Its description in RNAcentral is "bacterial SSU rRNA". It matches the Rfam family "Bacterial small subunit ribosomal RNA", at positions 1 to 524 of the family's 1533-position model. Lineage: Bacteria; Pseudomonadati; Pseudomonadota; Gammaproteobacteria; Pseudomonadales; Marinobacteraceae. The record is from RNAcentral.
UGGAGAGUUUGAUCCUGGCUCAGAUUGAACGCUGGCGGCAGGCUUAACACAUGCAAGUCGAGCGGUAACAGGGGAAGCUUGCUUCCCGCUGACGAGCGGCGGACGGGUGAGUAAUGCUUAGGAAUCUGCCCAGUAGUGGGGGAUAGCCCGGGGAAACCCGGAUUAAUACCGCAUACGUCCUACGGGAGAAAGCAGGGGAUCUUCGGACCUUGCGCUAUUGGAUGAGCCUAAGUCGGAUUAGCUAGUUGGUGGGGUAAAGGCCUACCAAGGCGACGAUCCGUAGCUGGUCUGAGAGGAUGAUCAGCCACAUCGGGACUGAGACACGGCCCGAACUCCUACGGGAGGCAGCAGUGGGGAAUAUUGGACAAUGGGGGCAACCCUGAUCCAGCCAUGCCGCGUGUGUGAAGAAGGCUUUCGGGUUGUAAAGCACUUUCAGUAGGGAGGAAAACCUUAUGGYUAAUACCCAUGAGGCUUGACGUUACCUACAGAAGAAGCACCGGCUAACUCCGUGCCAGCAGCCGCGGUAAU